Mycena vulgaris is the source of this 93-nucleotide non-coding RNA. Lineage: Eukaryota; Fungi; Basidiomycota; Agaricomycetes; Agaricales; Mycenaceae. The record is from the annotation of a GenBank genome assembly.
GACCUAAUGGUGUAAGGCUGCACACCUGCUCCUUAUAGCUCAGGAAGUAUCAGGGUAAGGCACGAGGUCCCGGUUCGAUUCCGGGUUAGGCCA